This is a long non-coding RNA of Zingiber officinale, 1044 nucleotides long. RefSeq lists it as uncharacterized. Lineage: Eukaryota; Viridiplantae; Streptophyta; Magnoliopsida; Zingiberales; Zingiberaceae. The record is from RefSeq and is a predicted model, not a curated record. The transcript is spliced from 3 exons.
CGCCCGAGUUUUCUUUCCCCGAUCCUUUUCCCCUUCCUUGUUCUCGCCGGCACAUCCUCCCUCCCAGCUUCUCCACCACAUCUACUAUCGCCGGUGCUGACACGGCUUCGCUGCCUCACCGUGUGUUAAGGGCCGAUCGUUCAUUGUCACCUGACGUCGCUGAUCGCCGCCUAUCGCCGAUUCAGCCCUAGCAAUGGUACUUAUCCCGAUCCCCUCCCUUCUCCUCUCAUGAUUCUGCCCUAGAUGGCCGACCGUGCCUCCUCACGCCACUGCCAGAUGCCAUUCCACAGCUGUAGUUGUCGGUUAAGCCCAGUGUCGCGAUUAUCCGAGGGUCGGCUUACCACAUCUCUCUCUCUCUCUCUCUCUCUCUCUCUCUCUCUCUCUCUCUCGAUUUGUUGGUUGUGCCCUAGCUCCGAUUUGUCGAAUAUCGCAGCUCCAAUUCUCCUGUCCUUGACAUCUUGUUGCAGUCUUCUCUUGUGUCCAACUAUCGCGACCAGGUGCGAGCCCUAGUUUUAGUUCAUUGCUGCAUCCUUCUUCUUGAUUGGAUUUCGACAUGGAUAUGAUGGAUCGCUACUUGAUCUCUUCAGUCGAUCUCUGUUUUGGUCAGAGGUUUCGUUCUGUCUUUUUCUUAUUUAGGGAUUCCGAUGCAGUAACCAGGUCAAGCUUUAGCUCCACGAAUCAGUUGCGGUUGAUGAGGGAAUUUGACAUGGCAAUAAACAACUCUAUCUUGUUCCAACCACAAUCCUCGACAGCGAGCAUUUCUUCGGCAGUGAAUCAUCAAGGGAGCAUCUGAGAUUUGGGUAGCAGGUAAAGGACUUAUGGAGUCGCUUGGAGGUCUUGUCUGCCAAUCCCACGUCACAUCUGAGGAUGAUCUUCUAGUUUUGGUUUCCUUUGCUAUUUGUGUUUUGGUUUUGUGAUCUUGGUAUUGUAAUAAUUCGAUGUCGACUUGGAGUUUUGUCUUGUGGUAUCUUGUAUUGGUUUUGUAAUGUUGUGUCAAGCCGAGCCGGCUCGCAGUUAGUUAUUUUAUUCGUUUCAUGUUCAUUA